GACUUCUUUGGCAGGGGCCCAGCGGUUGUGGUCAGAAGUCGGCCGAGACGCGCACCGGCCAAGGCAGGCAAACAAAGCAUGGCACGUCGAUCGCUGGUGGGACCAGCGAGGAUGGCGGGCCA
RNAcentral lists this non-coding RNA (122 nucleotides) under Togula jolla. The record is from RNAcentral. Lineage: Eukaryota; Dinophyceae; Gymnodiniales; Gymnodiniaceae.